This 259-nucleotide long non-coding RNA is filed under the name Brassica napus (rape). Its description in RNAcentral is "long non-coding RNA (BNAP_LNC014911)". Lineage: Eukaryota; Viridiplantae; Streptophyta; Magnoliopsida; Brassicales; Brassicaceae. The record is from RNAcentral.
GAUUUUGUUGUGGUUAUUCAGCUGAUUUAGAUAGUAUUAUGUAGUUUAACUAAUUAAUUUAUAAAAAAAUAAGAAAGAUUUUCAUAUACCAAAAAGAGAGUUUAACGUACAUUCAUAAAAAUUUAGAACGUCGUUAGAAAAUUUAGAGCAACAGUAAAAAGUAUAAGUUUCAGUAUAUAGAGCGUUUAACGUAAAACACAUAGAAUUUUUAAAAAAAUUCAAAUAAUAUAAUAAUAUUGUUUUAAUGCAUAGUUGCCUC